AAGUCGUAACAAGGUUUCCGUAGGUGAACCUGCGGAAGGAUCAUUAGUUGACAGGCCGUUCGCGCGGUACCUGAAAACCCUCCUUACAUGCGGCCGGAGUUCGGCGUCGAAGGGCAGGAAGCCCCAUCGCCGGGGCGGAGUCCGGCCGGGAAUCCUCCGGACAAACCAUGCCAUUGAAACCUUGACGGUCCGUGAGAGAAGUGAAUGAAUUAUGCGAAAAA
RNAcentral lists this unclassified non-coding RNA (221 nucleotides) under plant metagenome. Its description in RNAcentral is "partial contains small subunit ribosomal RNA and internal transcribed spacer 1". The stretch from base 1 to 46 matches the Rfam family "Eukaryotic small subunit ribosomal RNA", at positions 1786 to 1831 of the family's 1831-position model. The record is from RNAcentral.